UAUUCCUACGGGGCGCAGCAGUGGGGAAUAUUGCACAAUGGGGGAAACCCUGAUGCAGCGACGCCGCGUGAGUGAAGAAGUAUUUCGGUAUGUAAAGCUCUAUCAGCAGGAACGAGACAAGACGGUACCUGACUAAGAAGCCCCGGCUAACUACGUGCCAGCAGCCGCGGUAAUACGUAGGGGGCAAGCGUUAUCCGGAUUUACUGGGUGUAAAGGGAGCGUAGGUGGCAAGGCAAGUCAGAUGUGAAAACCCGGGGCCCAACCCCGGGAGUGCAUU
Molecule: ribosomal RNA, 277 nt
Filed under: uncultured bacterium
Lineage: Bacteria
Description: partial 16S ribosomal RNA
Rfam family: Bacterial small subunit ribosomal RNA
Source: RNAcentral